This 570-nucleotide long non-coding RNA is filed under the name Ananas comosus (pineapple). RNAcentral's name for it is "long non-coding RNA (ACOM_LNC000159)". Lineage: Eukaryota; Viridiplantae; Streptophyta; Magnoliopsida; Poales; Bromeliaceae. The record is from RNAcentral.
GAUUCGAGGAUUCGGAUCGAAAGCUUCGUGGAUUCGGAGUGGAGGCGUUUCGUGGAUUCGGAACGUGGCGUUCCUGGAUUCGAACGUGAGGGCGUAGACAACCUGGAGGAUUGCGCGAGAUUCAUAGAAGAUAGAAGAGAUGUUUAAGUCCGUGGAUUCGGUAAAUCACCUUAUAAUCUUUUAUUCUUAGUGAAGUGUUAUCGCGUGUUGGUCCCGUGAGUUUUUUACUCCGAGUUAGAAUUUUUCCACGUAAAUCUCGAUAUAAUUUUUAUAUUCACCCCCCUCUAGAUAUUUGAUACAAUCUAAAUAGAUCCUUGGGCAUCCCAAAAUUUACAAAAUUGUCAAUAAGCGUGCGUCCUUUCCGAUCUGAUAUUUUACAUUUCUUUUUUAAACUAUGAAUCAUCUCUAGCACAAGUGAUAAAGGGUUUACUGAUUGAUAUCCGAAAUCCCAAGUUCGAAUCUUAAUUGAUUCACAUUUUCAGCUAAGUUUAUUUCUAAAAAAUAAAUUGAAGUGGGUAGCAUGCUACCUUUCUCUGAAAAAAUGUAAGACGAAUGCUAUUUUGUUAUUUU